UACGGAGGAUGCGAGCGUUAUCCGGAUUUAUUGGGUUUAAAGGGUGCGUAGGCGGGAUGCCAAGUCAGCGGUAAAAAUGCGGUGCUCAACGCCGUCGAGCCGUUGAAACUGGCGUUCUUGAGUGGGCGAGGAGAGUGGAAUUCCAUGUGUAGCGGUGAAAUGCGUAGAUAUAUGGAGGAACACCGGUGGCGAAAGCGGCUCUCUGGCCUGUAACUGACACUGAGGCUCGAAAGCGUGGGGAGCAAACAGG
Molecule: ribosomal RNA, 250 nt
Filed under: uncultured bacterium
Lineage: Bacteria
Description: partial 16S ribosomal RNA
Rfam family: Bacterial small subunit ribosomal RNA
Source: RNAcentral